Molecule: non-coding RNA, 283 nt
Filed under: Erythranthe guttata (spotted monkey flower)
Lineage: Eukaryota; Viridiplantae; Streptophyta; Magnoliopsida; Lamiales; Phrymaceae
Description: Mimulus guttatus (spotted monkey flower) Bacterial small subunit ribosomal RNA
Rfam family: Bacterial small subunit ribosomal RNA
Source: Rfam by way of RNAcentral
GGCGUUUGACUAGCCGGAAAAAUAAAUUCAGCAAAAAAAAGUUAAAAAAAAAAAAUUUAAAAUGUCAAUGGCAGAGAACCGCGCACACUGGGACUGAGACACGACCCAAAUCAUACGGUACGCAACAGUUGGGAGUUUUCCGCACUACGCGAAAGCCUGACGUAGCAAUGACGCGUGGAGGUGGAAGGCCCACGGGACGUUAACUUCUUUUCCCGGAGAAGAGGCAAUGAUGGUAUCUGGGAAUAAGCAUCGACUAAAUUAUAAUUAAUAUAAAUAUGAUACG